GCCAAUGGCACUGCCCGGUAGCUAAAUGCGGAAGAGAUAAGUGCUGAAAGCAUCUAAGCACGAAACUUGCCCCGAGAUGAGUUCUCCCUGAGACUUUAAGUCUCCUGAAGGAACGUUGAAGACGACGACGUUGAUAGGCCGGGUGUGUAAGCGCAGCGAUGCGUUGAGCUAACCGGUACUAAUGAACCGUGAGGCUUAACCUU
This 203-nucleotide ribosomal RNA is filed under the name Escherichia coli. RNAcentral's name for it is "partial 23S ribosomal RNA". It matches the Rfam family "Bacterial large subunit ribosomal RNA", at positions 2728 to 2925 of the family's 2925-position model. RNAcentral also lists the same sequence under 1 other name. Lineage: Bacteria; Pseudomonadati; Pseudomonadota; Gammaproteobacteria; Enterobacterales; Enterobacteriaceae. The record is from RNAcentral.